CCAGCCCUGCGCUGUGCGAUAGGAUCCAGGAUGUAUUGAACCACAAAACAAUACACAGGGAGCCGGUCACCUGUCGGCGUGGCCUUCGAGCCAGCCUCACACUGGCGCCCACUUGAGAAUGAUGGUUCUCAUUUACACCAGGUCCAACGGCAGAGGCGGGGUUUUU
This 166-nucleotide non-coding RNA is filed under the name Candidatus Omnitrophota bacterium. RNAcentral's name for it is "6S RNA". It matches the Rfam family "6S / SsrS RNA". Rfam says of the family: E. coli 6S RNA was the first non coding RNA to be sequenced, but its function was unknown until recently. It consists of 184 nucleotides that fold into an extended hairpin structure with a large single-stranded internal bulge. Lineage: Bacteria; Pseudomonadati; Candidatus Omnitrophota. The record is from RNAcentral.